GUUUUAAUAAUUUAAAUAAAAAUAAUGAUUUUGUAAGUCAUCUUUAAGAUUACUCUUUUAAAACU
Molecule: transfer RNA, 65 nt
Filed under: Altica ericeti
Lineage: Eukaryota; Metazoa; Arthropoda; Insecta; Coleoptera; Chrysomelidae
Description: tRNA-Thr
Source: RNAcentral